CACGCCGUAAACGAUGAAUACUAGGUGUCGGGCGUCAAAACUCGGUGCCGCAGCUAACGCAUUAAGUAUUCCGCCUGGGGAGUACGCACGCAAGUGUGAAACUCAAAGGAAUUGACGGGGACCCGCACAAGCAGCGGAGCAUGUGGUUUAAUUCGAAGCAACGCGAAGAACCUUACCAGGUCUUGACAUCCUCUUGCAAGGGCCCUAGCCGGCCCCCUCCUUCGGGACAAGAGAGACAGGUGG
Molecule: ribosomal RNA, 243 nt
Filed under: uncultured bacterium
Lineage: Bacteria
Description: partial 16S ribosomal RNA
Rfam family: Bacterial small subunit ribosomal RNA
Source: RNAcentral